AUACGUAGGGGGCAAGCGUUAUCAGGAUUUACUGGGUGUAAAGGGAGCGUAGACGGUUUGGCAAGUCUGAAGUGAAAGCUCGGGGCUCAACCCCGGAACUGCUUUGGAAACUGUCGAACUGGAGUGCAGGAGAGGUAAGCGGAAUUCCUAGUGUAGCGGUGAAAUGCGUAGAUAUUAGGAGGAACAACAGAGGCGAAGGCGGCUGACUGUACUGUAACUGACUUUGAGUCUCGAAGGCGUGGGGAGCAAACAGGAUUAGAUACCCUGGUAGUCCACGCGGUAAACGAUUAUCACUAGGUGUUUGCACGCAUAGCGUUGCGGUGCCGCAGCAAACGCAAUAAGUGAUCCACCUGGGGAGUACGUUCGCAAGAAUGUACCUCAAAAUAAUUGGCGGG
This 395-nucleotide ribosomal RNA is filed under the name uncultured bacterium. RNAcentral's name for it is "partial 16S ribosomal RNA". It matches the Rfam family "Bacterial small subunit ribosomal RNA", at positions 523 to 917 of the family's 1533-position model. The record is from RNAcentral.